GGGGGGGGGGGGCUACUGAACAGUGCACCUGCAAUUCAAUACUGCUGUUUCUAAAGAGCCCCACACACACACACGCACAGGCCACUGCACUCAGUAUUUGGAUCCAUUGCUGAUUGGAACGCGUUGCUGAUGGGCGUUGCCAUAGGAACGAACCAGUAACCCAGGGUUACAUAUCCAUAAAAUAAAUAAAUAAAUAAAUAAAUAAAUACAGAUAAAAGGCCAGGAUGUGGCUGCUGUUAGGACACGAGAGCAGUUUGAACACUGACCGGCUUUAACGUCGUCACGCGGGCAGACCUUUUCUCUCCUGCUGAAGAUUUAAGAGCUGACCGGAGGACUCGCUGAGAAAGUUGUAUAAAUUAGUACUAAGUAAUAAGGCCUUGUCGUUCUUUACACACACACACACACACACACACACUAGUUCUCCAGGAAUCAAGCUCUCAGCUCUAAGAAUAGUAGACAUGUCGAGCUUGUUAGUAAUGAUGUGGUAUAAAUGAGAGAUUGCGACUCUUUAGACUCCCCGAUCUGUCUCUCUGUCUUUGUGUCUGUCUGUAUCACUCUGAAGGAAAGAACUGCUGAAUGAUUCAGUAUUCUGAGUGUAAGAAUAGCACACUCUUCCUGCAGGUCUAGGGAGAGAAAGAGAAAGAGAAAGAAAAGAAAAAAAAGAAUUAUCUUUGUAAAGCAGCCAAUUAAAGAUCAGGGAUAGUGUUUUUUUUUUGUUUUUUUUUAGGAGAGGGGGAUUUUUUUUGGACUUGGCAAUAUUAAGCACGCUAAAACCUGCUGUACAUUUCGAUUGCAACAAGACUGUCCUUCUAAGCAAACUAAAGUUUCACGUUUCGAGACGUGUGGAGAUCCUGUGGCUCAUGCAUUUCGCCUAUAUUCUCCUCAUUUCCCCCAGAGGCGCGCCGUCAAGUUCAGCCACGCGCCCUUGUUUUUAUUGUGCCACCAAUUAGCCAAUAGUCAGAGAGCAACUAGCGCUCGCCUUUCGCCUCCACAAUUCCUCCAAAGAAACUCAAAGUUUGGAUAUUUAAACGCGCUUUUUUUCCCCCUUCCCGCAUAUCUUCUUUUCCUCGUCCCAGACCACGCGUUUUGCUUUUUGUUUGUUUUUGCUUGCUUCUUGUUGUUUGUUUUGGGGUUUUUUUUGGUCCCUACUCAGGGACUAUUGACACGUCUCGCGCGCGUUUGUGCAAUUCUAAAACGCGCACCUAAACAACAAUAAGGAAGGACAGGAGAGCUUUCCAACUUCCGUACACAGAGUUGAGCCGCGCGGCAUGGACGCACCAGCAACGCGUUUUGGGAAAACCGAGAAAGAAAGUAAGUCGGUGCUCAGGAGGAAGAAGAAGAAGAAGAAGAAGAAGAAGAAGAAGGAGCAGAGCAUGGUUGCACUUGGGUUAUUACCUUGUUGCAGUGGUAAUAGUCCAGAGAGGCGAGGCUGGAGUCGGUGGAUAACGUGCAGGAGCCCACGCUCGAAGGGGGUGCAGGAUAAAAUCUCACAUCCAUCGCCCGCUCCGCUCCACUGAAGGCAUGAAAACAGGUUCAGCGUCUACGAGUCUCUCUCUCUCUCUCUCUCUCUCUCUCUCUCCUCUCUCUCUCUCUCUCUCCUCUCUCUCUCGGGCGCGCUUGCUCUAUUGUUAACCCAAACAAAAAAGAAACAGAACGAUUGAAAGAAGAAAAAAAGGGGUUGAGUCUCUCUCUCUCUCUCUCUCUCUCUCUCUCUCUCCAGGCGCUCUUUCCCUCACAUCCGUUCGCGGUUUUUCACUUCAGCACGAAAAAAAAACAAAACAACAACAAACAAAAAAACACGCAUCAUCCGCUCAGUUCUGCCUGAGGACGGUGUGCUGACUUCUGUUUGGGUUUCACCGGACCGACCGCAAAUAUAUCAAUAUAAAUAUAACGCUAUAUAAAGUUCACUUUCAGCCUACAAGCCAGGAAAUAGUGCACCCUGUUAUAAAAAAAUAAAAUAAUAAAAUUUAAAAAAUUGUCUGCAAGAAUGUAUAGCUAAACUGCGACCUGACGAUUCCUGCGCGUGACCUUUUCAAAAACACAGCGUUCACAUCCGUUAUGGUCGCGCGCCGUGUACGGGUUUGGUAUUAAGUGUGUAGUAGUAGUAGGACAACGCGUCCAUGCGUUCAGGAGCCAUGGGAAAUGCCAAGCGACCUCUGCCGUUGGGAAAAGGAACAGAGAGAGAGAAAGAGAGA
Ictalurus punctatus (channel catfish) is the source of this 2195-nucleotide long non-coding RNA. NCBI's taxonomy places the organism in Eukaryota, Metazoa, Chordata, Actinopteri, Siluriformes, Ictaluridae. The record is from Ensembl.